UACGUAGGGGGCAAGCGUUGUCCGGAUUUAUUGGGCGUAAAGAGCGUGUAGGCGGCCAGGUAGGUCUGCUGUGAAAACUCGAGGCUUAACCUCGAGCUGUCGGCGGAAACCAUCUGGCUAGAGUCCGGAAGAGGAGAAUGGAAUUCCCGGUGUAGCGGUGAAAUGCGCAGAUAUCGGGAAGAACACCCGUGGCGAAGGCGGUUCUCUGGGCCUUACCUGACGCUGAGGCGCGAAAGCUAGGGGAGCGAACAGG
Molecule: ribosomal RNA, 253 nt
Filed under: uncultured bacterium
Lineage: Bacteria
Description: partial 16S ribosomal RNA
Rfam family: Bacterial small subunit ribosomal RNA
Source: RNAcentral